This is a long non-coding RNA of Neopelma chrysocephalum (saffron-crested tyrant-manakin), 584 nucleotides long. RefSeq lists it as uncharacterized. The record is from RefSeq and is a predicted model, not a curated record. NCBI's taxonomy places the organism in Eukaryota, Metazoa, Chordata, Aves, Passeriformes, Pipridae. The transcript is spliced from 4 exons.
GGGAAGCUCCGACCUGGAAUUCUCGUCAGGCCCCUCUUGCUCAACGGGGCGGCUUUGCCAACGGAGGCUUCCGAAAUCCUGCACGGGGAGAGGGAAUUUGGGAAGCCGAGGUGUUCCUGCUUCCCACAGGGCUGUUUCCAUAGCAAUUCCGGAAGGAAAGUCCUGUUUUCUGGGAUGAAUCGCAGGAUUUUUUUGGCUUUUAUCCCCGUGACAUUCCCAGGAGUCACAGCACAGAUGCCACUGCGAACACACCAGGGAAAGCUGCACCUAAACACCAGGAUACUCUGGGAAAACUGACUCUGAUCCCGAGGAGGGAGAGGAUGAUUCCCAGCCUCUUUCCUGGGAAGCUGCCGCCUGGGAAAACACAGAUGGAUCCGCCAGCUUGGCUGAGGGUUGGAAUGGCUUCCUGGUGGUCCCUAUGGAGCUGGGAGAGGCUGGGAUGCUCCGGAGCCGUAAUGGAUUGUGGACACAGGGAGACACAAGCCCGGACCGAGCAUUUAUUCCCAAGAUAAAACCAAGCCAACACGGGAUGAGCCGAGGUAGAUGGUCCAGUGGAUCCACGCGUCGGGAUCACUCCAAGCCAC